ACUCGAGGUUGUGGAAGCCGCGUGCCUGGGGCGUAGACAGGGCUUAGAUCUUUUAGAAGAAACCGACUGCGGUAAACCCUCUGGACUACGCCGGGUCCUCGGAAGCUGUGCGCUAACCAAAAUCCCCGACGCUGGCAGUUGCCAUUGUUCCCCAGAGGCAUCCAUACUAAUGGGACCCAAGUAUUGUGCAGCUUCAUUUUACAGUGAGGAACUCGGUCUAUGCAGGAUAGGGAACUCCACAUGGACCACAGAAGGCAAAAGCCUGCUGCUUUUCUGUGCAGGGUAGAGUGUACUAAGUUAGCAUCCUGUGAUGUACUUGCCCCAGCCAGCAACAGCAGAGAAGCACACAGGUAACACAGCUCCUUGAAGUUGGCCCCUCCAGUGUUGUGUCAUUUGCCUUUCUUUUCUCAAGGGUUGUUGAAGAACCAAGUUUCAUGCCCAAUGGUAUCCUGAAGUGGACAUAUACAGUGAUGGCCUGAGAGUCAUCUGGCCAGUGCUCCCAGGCAUUGCCUGCCAGUAGCCCCAACCACAUCUGUGCAGCACAGUCCUCAGGACCUACACAAACAUCCCUUGAAAAAAAACAACAGUGUCUUUGUGGGUUUUAGGGGUUUUUUGUUGUUGUUUUUUUUUUUUAAGAUUCAUUUAUUUAUUAUAUGUAAUAGUCUAUAGACAAAAAUUUACAAAGCUCACUGAACUUAAAAGACUCUGGAAGUGUUGAUUAGCAAGAAAGCUGUGCUUUCAAACCAAAACAUGCCACAGAUGGCACCCAAAAGCAGGCAAUCUGUGAGCCUUCAGUGUGCUGUACACUCCUGGCUGACAUUGUUUAGAACACCCAUGAACAGAAUGAGUGCUACAGGACAUGCUCUCGGAGAAACAGUCUCUUCAUCUUCCUUGCCUAAUGCCUCGAUAAGCCAGGGAGCCUGGUGGGGUUCCCAGUGUCAUUAGCCAUGUGGAUCAUGUGGUCUCCUGGGAUGUCUGGUUAAGGUAGCCUCAAAGUUUCCCACUCACAACUUUCUUGGAGAAAGGACAGUGGGGCAGAUCCCUCAACCACUGUCACCACUUAUAAAAAGCAUUUCCCUUAUAAAUGGGACCCACCUGCUCCCUAAGGAAUUUCUAGCACCUAAGUAGCCUGUCACAAUCCAAGUGUCUCUGCCUGCCCUGAAAUAAGCCAAGAGCUCUGAUAAGCAGAGCAUGUCACAACUUGACCCAGGAGAUGAAAAACCCAGCCUGGGUACAAGCAGCACGCAGACUACUCACUGUACCCCAUAAAGCACUCCAGAGCAUGGAACUGCAGCAGAAAUUGACAUCUGCGUGCACAGCUAACCGCUUCAGCAACAGAAGCUACCUGAGAGCAAAGAGUAUGGCUCAGUACAACACCCACACACUGUCCUUUUGCUUUUGGUCAGGAGCAGAGAAGCAAAAUGGACUCCACAGACUGUCCAGUGCACGGGGCCUUCUUGAGUGCAUGAAGCUCCCAUGAGUGUCAUCUGUGAGUUUGCCACUGCUCUACCCAUGUAACUGGAAAACUUGUAAGCCAGACACAACUUUCCAUUUCUACCAUCAAUCCUCACAGGAGGGUUUUGGUUACCAAGUGUCUGAGGACAGCAAGUUGGGUGGGAGUCCUCCACCUGGCCUCUCUUUGAUAGAAGAGUUGCUAAGAACACCAGCUGCAGGAGACUGGAAAUGACCCAACACCAGGGGAGGAAACACAGUACUUGGUCCACACCUUGUGCAGAAGGCAGAUCUCAAACAAGAGCAAGCCAGCUUUCCAGGAACUGUUAAGAAGCAGGCUCCAGAGCCAGCUGAACACAGGCAGUGAAGCUGUGUGUAUACUCAGGCUGUUAAGAACAGAUGGUGGGAGCCACCUGGUAUCCUGCACUAGCUCAAAGCACAACCAGGUGCCUGCCUGAGCCCAGCUCCUCUCCCAGGAGCCUGGGAAACCACAGACAACAUAUUGUGCACUAACCAGGCCGUGCAGAAACACCCACAGGAACCUGGCUUCUAGGGCAGCUCCAUGAUACAGAAAGUCCCUACAUGCCUGCCUAUGUACACACCAUACACAUGAAUAAGUAAAUAAAUAUUAUUUAUAUAAAUAGCUUUUUACAGCCCAUCCUGCUGUCCUCAGACACUUGGUCACCAUAACCCCAUCUGCCUGAGACCAAUGGCAUAGAACUUACUAUACAAUUCACCUAGAACUGACUUCCACAUCUGCUGGGAUCAGAGCAGCUGAAGGUGACCAAAGCACUUUGGAGGCACCACACAAGGACAGCUCCCUGUCACCUAGUGGAAACAAGAUGCAUUACCUGGGGACAGGCAGGCAGUGCUCAGGGACCAAGCACCAUAAGCUCCACUCAGCAUGACAUGUGUCUCUAUACACACCAGGGUGCCAGCUAGCCUGGCUCAUGACCAACCUCAUCUGCUCCCUGUGCAGUUGGCACAUACCUGCCUCCAUAAUGUUGGUGUCAUCAGUAAGAUGAGGACACUUGUGUGAACAAGCAAGGAAAGAAAGCAGUAGAGAGGAGAGGAGAUGGGGCAGGUAGUGGCUAUCAUCUGAAAAGCAGGGUAAGUGGGUAGAGUAAGGCUAAAAGGGAAAGCCCAAACCACAGUAAACAGAUGAAGCAUGGGCAGAUAGCCCUGGAGAACCCCAGUCACUGAAAAGAGCAGUCAGUUCUAAUCAGCUCUAGGCAGGAGGUUCUGGCCAAUGCAAGUGGGCAAGAAAAAGGAAGAAGAGGCCUUCCAAACAGGAAUGAGGAAUGAGUGCCCACACCCUGCAUUCAUGUUAGUUCUUGGGAAGCACUUAGGGCAUCUGAGCAGAGAUACAGGACAAAGCAUUUCCACCACAGGUUCCCAAGCUAAAGACUCCAAGUCAAACCCCUACUGACAAAUAAAUAUGAAAGGCCCAAGAGAUGACUCAGUGAGUAAAAGUGUGCACAACCAAGCCUGACAACCCAAGUUUAAUCUCAUAUCCGCAGGUUGUCCCAUGACCUCCACUUAUGCACAUGCACAAAAUAAAUUAAUGUUAAAUU
Molecule: long non-coding RNA, 3026 nt
Filed under: Mus caroli (Ryukyu mouse)
Lineage: Eukaryota; Metazoa; Chordata; Mammalia; Rodentia; Muridae
Description: lncRNA (MGP_CAROLIEiJ_G0006678.1)
Source: RNAcentral